Oryza sativa Japonica Group (Japanese rice) is the source of this 883-nucleotide non-coding RNA. The record is from RefSeq and is a predicted model, not a curated record. Lineage: Eukaryota; Viridiplantae; Streptophyta; Magnoliopsida; Poales; Poaceae.
UAUGCAUGUUAGAUUCAGAACAAUUCUUCAUUAUUGAAAUUGAUUACUGCAGAAUCAAGAUUUUCCAGGUAAAGUACAGGACAUGGAAGGUUCCUGGACAGCUUUCAAAAAACAUGUGGUGGGAACCUAACAAGUUCAGGAGAUUUUGGGGAUGGGGGUUGCUUACCCAACAUAUAGCAUGCCAACAAUGGCCAAUACAAUAACAAGAAGGAUAAGAGCUGCCAGCUGAGUGCCGAUGCCAACAACUGCAGAAAGAAAGGCCAAACUUCGAGGAGGGCGAAAUACAUCACCAUGAACAAGCUUCCAUCCAGAUUCCUCAUUAACAUCUCUCUCCUAACAAAAGGAAUAUCAAGACUUGAGGUCCCAAUCGAGUGGCACUAGGUGAAAACAAAUCCAACUUAGAUGCUAGAGCUAAGAAUACAAUUAAACAAAAGGUAGAUAUACCAGUGACUCCAGAUCAUCAUCUUCACGAGCAUACUUUGCAUAGUCAUUUCUCAAUGUCCGCAUCAAUAUCAUUGAAACCAAACCAGUGAGGAAAAUAACCAUCAUGAAAGAAUUGAAAAUGGAGAACCAAUGAAUCUGAACAUUAGAAAUUUGCAUAGAAGUCAGAACCUUUGAACAACUUUCAAAAAGAACAAGACGAUUCAGCUCCCUGUUGUUACAAUUAACAUUUUUUCUCUUUCACAUAAGUAAGCAAGCUGAGAGCUGCAUGUUACGCAUAGUUUUUUUUUCUUUGGAGUGGGAAAAUAUUACCUGGUGCUCAAAGAAAGGAUAAUCCAGGUAUACUUCAAAGCGGCGUGCAAAGGUCACAUCUGUUUGUAACCACUUCACUGAAUAUGUCAUGUCCAAUUUCUUACCAGCUUCAAGAAGCUUAGGAGACUCU